GAGCUUGAGAAGGAAUCAGAUUCUGCAUAUAUUUCCAAGUUAACAUGAACAAGAUUUUCUGAAAGACUGCUAUGGAGUCUGAGAAAAAAUGUCAAAGGUAGUGCCAAAAUUGUCACUUAAAGAACUGCAGGAAUGGAGUUGGCAUUUACAGAAUUUGGAAGAGAAGCAGGUUUAGUGAUAAAGACCAGAAGCACAGAGCUAAGCAUAUUAAAUAUUGAGGACAUGAAGAGGAAAGAACUGACAGAGGAGGUGAAGAAAGGUGAUCAGGAAGAGCCAUCAAAGUGUUAUCCUGGAAUUCAAGUGAAGACAGUGUUUCAAAGAUAUGCCACAGAGAGGAUCCAGAGAGCUCAUCUCCGGUCAGUUAUCUGUAUUUGCAUGUCAACUACAGCAUCAAAAAGCAUAGGCAUGGAUACUAAGGACCCCCUCUGUACACCAACGCCAGUCCAAAGGAUAGUGUGUCACUGUGAACUGGAAAUUCAUCUCUCUUCUUCAUUUUUUUUCUACCUACUUUAUGCUUUAUCUCUAAGUUGAGGCUGUUUAUGGCCUCAUCCUCAAUUACCUUGUCCCUC
Molecule: long non-coding RNA, 569 nt
Filed under: Pan troglodytes (chimpanzee)
Lineage: Eukaryota; Metazoa; Chordata; Mammalia; Primates; Hominidae
Description: lincRNA
Source: RNAcentral